Portunus trituberculatus (swimming crab) is the source of this 1435-nucleotide long non-coding RNA. RefSeq lists it as uncharacterized. The transcript is spliced from 2 exons. Lineage: Eukaryota; Metazoa; Arthropoda; Malacostraca; Decapoda; Portunidae. The record is from RefSeq and is a predicted model, not a curated record.
GAUGGGUGGGUGUAAACUGUACAUGCAUGGGAGGCGGCCCACACACAUACAAGACCACUAUUUUCUUUUUUUUUUUAGUUUGGUUUGAAAUUACGUAUUUAGAGGAUUGUCGUCUGGGAAGAUUACGCUACGCAGUGCCUGCCGACCUGAACGAAAUUUUUGGCAAUGUUCAGGUUCGGAGGCGAUUUCGGAGGUCGAACGGCUCGUCAAACGCGGUUGUCGAACCUGGUUGUCAAACGGUCCGAAGAGUUGUCAGACAGCCACGCCCACGAAAAGUCAGACUCGAACAGACUUUCAUCGACUCUAGAUCACGUGACCAAAACCAUUGACUGUUUUCAAACAUCAGGCCAGGCAUUCACCUCAGGAUGGCGUCCACUCGAAGACCUUUGCACCCAUGUUCCGGCUGUGGGAAAGAAGUUCGACCACGGCAACAGGCUAUAUUGUGUGUGACAGCUGUCACCAGUGGAGACACAGGCUUUGUGUCACAAACAUAACUCAGGCGAUGUACAGACAGAUCAACAAGGAAUUAAAACAGGGUGGAUCCUUUGAUUGAACGUGCCCCAGUGCCCUACCCACCACCCACCAGAGUGCCCAGGCACUAGUGCUUGCAGUUUUACGCCCAGCCAUUCAACAGAAGAAUUGUCUGAUGAGUGCCUAGACAUUAUUGACUGUCUAGAGGAUUCCUUUGAGUAUAUGACCAUAAUAGACAUUAACAGUUCAUUUACGGUCGAUUUACCUAUUGAUCCAGUUAUUCCAGUGCAAGAAAAUUCAAUAGAAAAUGAACCACUGUUACAAGAAAAUCUAACUAAUGAUCGACCAGUGACUUAUGAAAUUAUUCCUGGGGGUACAAAACGCGGGAAGCCACGAUUACAUAGUUCUGCUGGAUACAUGUACACAAUAAGAAAAGCAAGUGAAACUGUGACCUAUUGGACUUGCAGCAUUAGGCAAAAGAACAACGUGUCCAGCUAGUGUAAUUCAGAGAGGGACAUAUUUCAGAGCAGGAGAACAGGCUCACAACCAUCCUGCCACACCUGGGCUCCUUUCUGCCACCACAGUGUCGGUAGCCGUGAAGGAACGCUGUGAACGAGCAGUACGUGUCUACCCAAGCAUAAAUAUCUAGGAUAACUAUAUAUCAUAAAUGAGAUUCUAUACUUAUACAAAUUCAGAUAUCAAUGUAUUGGUUAUUGCGAGCUCUUUCUUUAUCAUUAUCGUGUACAGCAAUGGUUGUUUGUCAAAACAGUAAAUGUUAGGUAGUUUUCACAGCGAGUGUUUGCAUCUCCCGCGGAUAAACAUAAAAACGAGGUAGCAUCUAAGAGGCAGACUAUUACAUUCCUUUUCUUCUCUAUUUCUACCGCCUCUGUUCAUGAUUGUGUUCUUUUCAAUACACCAGAGAGAACUGAUAAUAAGUACAGGAAUAUUAACAUUUUCUCAUGCA